RNAcentral lists this ribosomal RNA (397 nucleotides) under uncultured bacterium. RNAcentral's name for it is "partial 16S ribosomal RNA". It matches the Rfam family "Bacterial small subunit ribosomal RNA", at positions 523 to 918 of the family's 1533-position model. The record is from RNAcentral.
AUACGUAGGUGACAAGCGUUAUCCGGAUUUACUGGGCGUAAAGGGCGUGUAGGCGGUCUUGCAAGUCAGAAGUGAAAUUCCUGAGUUCAACUCGGGCGCUGCUUCUGAAACUGCAGGACUUGAGUGCUGGAGGGGAUAGCGGAAUUCCUAGUGGAGCGGUAAAAUGCGCAGAUAUUAGGAAGAACACCGGUGGCGAAGGCGGCUGUCUGGCCAGUAACUGACGCUGAGGCGCGAAAGCGUGGGGAGGAAACAGGAUUAGAUACCCUGUUAGUCCACGCCGUAAACGAUGAAUACUAGGUGUAGGGGGUAUCGACUCCCUCUGUGCCGCAGUUAACACAAUAAGUAUUCCGCCUGGGGAGUACGGCCGCAAGGUUGAAACUCAAAUGAAUUGACGGGG